This 378-nucleotide unclassified non-coding RNA is filed under the name plant metagenome. RNAcentral describes it as "partial contains 5.8S ribosomal RNA, internal transcribed spacer 2, and large subunit ribosomal RNA". The stretch from base 1 to 105 matches the Rfam family "5.8S ribosomal RNA", at positions 50 to 154 of the family's 154-position model. The record is from RNAcentral.
GAAAUGCGAUAAGUAAUGUGAAUUGCAGAAUUCAGUGAAUCAUCGAAUCUUUGAACGCACCUUGCGCUCCUUGGUAUUCCUUGGAGCAUGCCUGUUUGAGUAUCAUGAAAUCUUCAAAGUAAAUCUUUUGUUAACUCAAUUGGUUUCUACUUUGGUUUUGGAGGUCUUUGCAGCUUCACACCUGCUCCUCUUUGUUCAUUAGCUGGAUCUCAGUGUUAUGCUUGGUUCCACUCGGCGUGAUAAGUUAUCUAUCGCUGAGGACACUGUAAAAGGUGGCCAAGGUAAAUGCAGAUGAACCGCUUCUAAUAGUCCAUUGACUUGGACAAUACUUUUAUGAUCUGAUCUCAAAUCAGGUAGGACUACCCGCUGAACUUAAGC